Molecule: long non-coding RNA, 1680 nt
Filed under: Lactuca sativa (garden lettuce)
Lineage: Eukaryota; Viridiplantae; Streptophyta; Magnoliopsida; Asterales; Asteraceae
Description: long non-coding RNA (LSAT_LNC003492)
Source: RNAcentral
AAAUGGAAAAUGCAAAAGCAUAACUUUAAUUAAAACUUAAAUUGUUUUACAACAAUAUUCUUAGUAAUUAACAGAAAAUACGUUCCAAAAAGCUUAACAAGUCUAACUUUGUCCUAGUAACACCUAAAACAUAAAUCUUGACUAAUGGAGCUUGGUAGAACCCAUUUCAAUCCAGUACCCCAAAGCUAUGAUGCCAACGAAUCAACUUGGAAGAACACAUUUCAUGCCCUCAUUUCAUUUCCUCAUCCUCUCACCCUGCAACUUAAAGUAUAUGAAACUUAGUCAUGUGAUCAAAACAAAAUACAUAUGCUCAUACACCUAUAUUAAUACAAUACAAAAUAAGUCCUAAACAACAUAAUAUCACUUGUCUACUGAAGUAUCAAUAACCAAAAAUACCAUGACGCGUCAUAAACUAAAUUUUAAUUACUUCCAUAGAUGGUUGAUGCAAAAAAGGGGGGGAAUCAAUUUGUAUAUCCAGAAUACUCACUUUCUUGAAGGUUGCUAUUAUAUUAACAGGAACCCAACCUUCUUCAUCCAAAAAAGCGUGCAAAAAAACAUCCCGCUAUGGAAUGAAAACUAGCUAACAAGAAGAAAUGCUUCAUUUCAUUCCUACAUUGCAAACAAAAAAUCAAGAUUUUUAAAAUGAAGUUUCACGCAUAAUCUUGAUAUAUAAAUUAAGCCAUCGUGAAUACAAUAAAAGAUGAAGACUUUUGGAAUGAAAAGUUAAACGCUAACUGCCUGGAGCAUCCCACAAAAUAAUAAAUAGAAAAAAGAAUUCAAUAAAUAAAUAAACAAUAACAAAUGUUUAAAUUUAAAAAUGAAUCAAGAAACUAUCAUGAUUGCAGGAGUUAAGAGGCAUUUAUUAGUGAAAAUAAACUUAUUAAAUUAAAAAAACAAACUAUCAAAUGAAAACCUUACCAAAAAGCUGUAUAACUUGAUGUCUUAUAUGUUGACGAUUAAAGUUUUUAUCUACAUUCCACACUACUCCUGUACUAUGCUUUCCCUGUCUUGCUCAACAUCCUAGAUAUCACACAAAAAACUUAGAUUUAUUGUUUAAACGAUUAUUUUAAAAUUUUCACACUAAAUUGGGUGAGAAUUUUGAGUAUUGGUACCAGUAAAGACGAAAACUGAAACAAUUAUCAUAGAGAAUAAAGGAACCAAGAUUACCAUUCAAUUUCUUUUUGUUUCAGAUCGGUUGUUAUAUAGCCACCGCCUAGACGAAACCCUAGAAUUGAAAGUCGGAAGGAAAGUGACUGAUAUCUUGAAAAUUAUAAAAAUAAGAAAGAAUGCAUCAGGAGAAAAUUCGUGGACAGCUAAAAGAAAAGGAGAAAGAUAAAAAUAAAAUAAAUAAAUAAAAAAAAUAAAAAAAAAAAAUAAAAAAAAACUCGAUGGUUUAAGAACUAGUUUUGAAUUUAGGAGAAGAAAUCUUGAAGAAAAUAGGCGUGGAUAAAGAAUCGGGAAAACACAUAAACAAAACAAAAAUUGACUAGGAAUCGAGAAUAGAUCCAGAAAGAAGGUACAUACUUGAAUCCAUGGCUUCGCUUAAUAAUCACAUUAUGUCCUUGAAUGCCACAUACAUCACUGGUGGUGUUCGUUGAUGAUAAUGCGCUUCGGUGGGAAUCGAAGGGUUCUACAUAAAAUUAGGGCAAAAAGAUAAGAAAUAAUAGAACUAUUUGGCGG